Molecule: ribosomal RNA, 480 nt
Filed under: Blastocystis sp.
Lineage: Eukaryota; Bigyra; Opalinata; Blastocystidae
Also listed under: 1 other name
Description: SSU rRNA
Rfam family: Eukaryotic small subunit ribosomal RNA
Source: RNAcentral
GGAGGUAGUGACAAUAAAUCACAAUGCGGAACAUCUGUUUUGCAAUUGGAUUGAGAACAACGCACAACACUUAUCGAUAAACAAUUGGAGGGCAAGUCUGGUGCCAGCAGCCGCGGUAAUUCCAGCUCCAAUAGCGUAUAUUAACGUUGUUGCAGUUAAAAAGCUCGUAGUUGAAGUGAAGUGUGGAAGUUUGGCAUUUUCGUUUGAAUUUGCUUCUCUUCUAUACUCUUUCCAAAUAGUUUGCAUGGGUAUUCAUUUAUCUGUGUAUUGCAUUUGGUCAUUUACUGUGAGAAAAUUAGAGUGUUCAAAGCAUACGUUUGUUUGAAUACAUUAGCAUGGAAUAAUUCGAAAAGGCUUUCAUGUUCGAUUUGAUUGGUUUGUUCGUGAAGGCAAGAUUAAAAGGGACAGUUGGGGGUAUUCAUAUUCAAUAGUCAGAGGUGAAAUUCUCGGAUUUAUGGAAGAUGAACAAGUGCGAAAGCA